GACCUCAGAUCAGGUGAGACUACCCGCCGAAUUUAAGCAUAUUAAUAAGCGGAGGAAAAGAAACUAACAA
This 70-nucleotide ribosomal RNA is filed under the name Aulactinia marplatensis. RNAcentral describes it as "partial 28S ribosomal RNA". It matches the Rfam family "Eukaryotic large subunit ribosomal RNA", at positions 1 to 71 of the family's 3401-position model. Lineage: Eukaryota; Metazoa; Cnidaria; Anthozoa; Actiniaria; Actiniidae. The record is from RNAcentral.